This 322-nucleotide ribosomal RNA is filed under the name uncultured eukaryote. RNAcentral describes it as "partial 18S ribosomal RNA". It matches the Rfam family "Eukaryotic small subunit ribosomal RNA", at positions 1470 to 1796 of the family's 1831-position model. The record is from RNAcentral.
CCCUUAGAUGUUCUGGGCCGCACGCGUGCUACACUGAGUGGAUCAGCGGGUCAGGUUACGCGAGAGCGUUUCCUAAUCUUCAAAUCCGCUCGUGAUGGGGAUUGACGGUUGCAAUUUUCCGUCAUGAACGAGGAAUACCUUGUAAGCGCGGGUCAUCAUCCCGCGCUGAAUACGUCCCUGCCCUUUGUACACACCGCCCGUCGCUCCUACCGAUUGAGUGGUCCGGUGAGGCUUUGGGAUCUAAGCGAAACGAGCGUUUCGCUCCUUUUGCUGGGAGAACUCAGUCGAACCUUAUCAUUUAGAGGAAGGAGAAGUCGUAACA